AGGAGAAGGUGUGACUGAGGGCGGGCUGUGGAUCUGAACUGCACUGUGGCCCUGUCCAGCAAAGCAAAUUACAGUUUCACUUGCUUUUGGAAUAUUUAAACUUACACCAACUGCAUGAGAAUAUGUUAGGAAACAGUGCCUGGAACUAGGAUUUUCAAUGGAGCUGGGCAGAGUUAAGAUAUUAUCAACAUAUCUCUGUUAGGGCAGAA
Molecule: long non-coding RNA, 209 nt
Organism: Corapipo altera (White-ruffed manakin)
Lineage: Eukaryota; Metazoa; Chordata; Aves; Passeriformes; Pipridae
Exons: 2
Source: RefSeq, a predicted model, not a curated record